UACGUAGGGUGCAAGCGUUAUCCGGAAUUAUUGGGCGUAAAGAGCUCGUAGGCGGUUUGUCGCGUCUGCUGUGAAAACCCGAGGCUCAACCUCGGGCCUGCAGUGGGUACGGGCAGACUAGAGUGCGGUAGGGGAGAUUGGAAUUCCUGGUGUAGCGGUGGAAUGCGCAGAUAUCAGGAGGAACACCGGUGGCGAAGGCGGGUCUCUGGGCCGAUACUGACGCUGAGGAGCGAAAGCGUGGGGAGCGAACAGG
This 253-nucleotide ribosomal RNA is filed under the name uncultured bacterium. RNAcentral's name for it is "partial 16S ribosomal RNA". It matches the Rfam family "Bacterial small subunit ribosomal RNA", at positions 524 to 776 of the family's 1533-position model. The record is from RNAcentral.